RNAcentral lists this ribosomal RNA (901 nucleotides) under Fusarium sacchari. RNAcentral's name for it is "LSU rRNA". It matches the Rfam family "Eukaryotic large subunit ribosomal RNA", at positions 34 to 965 of the family's 3401-position model. Lineage: Eukaryota; Fungi; Ascomycota; Sordariomycetes; Hypocreales; Nectriaceae. The record is from RNAcentral.
UUAAGCAUAUCAAUAAGCGGAGGAAAAGAAACCAACAGGGAUUGCCCUAGUAACGGCGAGUGAAGCGGCAACAGCUCAAAUUUGAAAUCUGGCUCUCGGGCCCGAGUUGUAAUUUGUAGAGGAUACUUUUGAUGCGGUGCCUUCCGAGUUCCCUGGAACGGGACGCCAUAGAGGGUGAGAGCCCCGUCUGGUUGGAUGCCAAAUCUCUGUAAAGUUCCUUCGACGAGUCGAGUAGUUUGGGAAUGCUGCUCUAAAUGGGAGGUAUAUGUCUUCUAAAGCUAAAUACCGGCCAGAGACCGAUAGCGCACAAGUAGAGUGAUCGAAAGAUGAAAAGCACUUUGAAAAGAGAGUUAAAAAGUACGUGAAAUUGUUGAAAGGGAAGCGUUUAUGACCAGACUUGGGCUUGGUUAAUCAUCUGGGGUUCUCCCCAGUGCACUUUUCCAGUCCAGGCCAGCAUCAGUUUUCCCCGGGGGAUAAAGACUUCGGGAAUGUGGCUCUCUUCGGGGAGUGUUAUAGCCCGUUGUGUAAUACCCUGGGGGGGACUGAGGUUCGCGCAUCUGCAAGGAUGCUGGCGUAAUGGUCAUCAACGACCCGUCUUGAAACACGGACCAAGGAGUCGUCUUCGUAUGCGAGUGUUCGGGUGUCAAACCCCUACGCGUAAUGAAAGUGAACGCAGGUGAGAGCUUCGGCGCAUCAUCGACCGAUCCUGAUGUUCUCGGAUGGAUUUGAGUAAGAGCAUACGGGGCCGGACCCGAAAGAAGGUGAACUAUGCCUGUAUAGGGUGAAGCCAGAGGAAACUCUGGUGGAGGCUCGCAGCGGUUCUGACGUGCAAAUCGAUCGUCAAAUAUGGGCAUGGGGGCGAAAGACUAAUCGAACCUUCUAGUAGCUGGUUUCCGCCGAA